RNAcentral lists this ribosomal RNA (550 nucleotides) under uncultured bacterium. RNAcentral describes it as "bacterial SSU rRNA". It matches the Rfam family "Bacterial small subunit ribosomal RNA", at positions 355 to 896 of the family's 1533-position model. The record is from RNAcentral.
UAGGGAAUCUUCGGCAGUGGACGGAAGUCUGACCGAGCAACGCCGCGUGAGUGAAGAAGGUUUUCGGACCGUAAAGCUCUGUUGUAAGAGAAGAACGAGUGUGAGAGUGGAAAGUUCACACUGUGACGGUAUCUUACCAGAAAGGGACGGCUAACUACGUGCCAGCAGCCGCGGUAAUACGUAGGUCCCGAGCGUUGUCCGGAUUUAUUGGGCGUAAAGCGAGCGCAGGCGGUUAGAUAAGUCUGAAGUUAAAGGCUGUGGCUUAACCAUAGUAGGCUUUGGAAACUGUUUAACUUGAGUGCAAGAGGGGAGAGUGGAAUUCCAUGUGUAGCGGUGAAAUGCGUAGAUAUAUGGAGGAACACCGGUGGCGAAAGCGGCUCUCUGGCUUGUAACUGACGCUGAGGCUCGAAAGCGUGGGGAGCAAACAGGAUUAGAUACCCUGGUAGUCCACGCUGUAAACGAUGAGUGCUAGGUGUUAGACCCUUUCCGGGGUUUAGUGCCGUAGCUAACGCAUUAAGCACUCCGCCUGGGGAGUACGACCGCAAGGUUG